CAGUAUAAAUUACUUUUAAUAUAUCGACUUUGUGGCUCGUAUAUGAUUGUUUUUCUUUUAUAUUUUUGGAAGUCAAAAUUCAAAACAUUUUGUGCACGUAAAAUUAAGAUUAUCAACUAAAAUUAGGAGUAAACUUCAGAUUGUUGCAAGUAUGACGUCGAACAACAAGGAUUUUUGCAUACUUGAUCCGAAUUUCACGAUAGUAUACAUGUUUCUUGAUAAAUUUUCCGAUGCUUGUGGUGUUAAUAAACUGGAUAUAAACAAUUUGAGUGCUAUGAUUCAGGAUAGUAAAACAGUAGCACCUGCGUUAGAAGAACUACACAUAAAACUGCUUCGAAAAAUAAGAAAAUCAGUUCCAGUUGGAAAAUGGGAAAAUGCUUUGGCAAAGUUUGCGCAUACUUAUUCCAAUCAAGAUGCGUGGGAGCUGGAGCGAUUUGGAUAUAGAAACGCCAAUUCAGCUGUUAAACUAAGAAUUUUAAAGGUUUUGCUGGAAGCUCAAUUUGAUCGAAACAGUAAAUUCAAAGGAUAUAUAAAUGGAUUUACUGCAGAAGAAUUACGUUCCAAACCCAUUGGCAAAGACAUUUUCGGCAAUAGCUACUGGUGCAUUAUGGAUCAUAAUUACAGCAUAAAAAUUUUCAGAGAGAAUAUGGAUGAUGAAACAUGGAAUCUUGUGGCAAGUAAUCGUGACGAACUGGCAUUAUUGAUAGAAAAAUUUCAACAAACUAAAGAUUUGAAUAAUGAAGUUGACGAUAAAAUGAAUAAUGCCACCACAGCGUGUUUUGAAUCGAAGAUUAUAUUGAAAUAUGAUGAUUCGGAGUCUUCACUAAUAAUAGAUAGAAGAGCAUAUAAAAAAGAUUUUUCAACCGAAUGCUCUAAGUCAAAAGAAAAUUUGUGUUUCAUAAACACAGGAAUCGAUUACCCGGACAACUCAGUUGAAGAUGUAGUCGAAAAAACUGAGAAAAUUAUUGAGUCCGCCAUUAUCGAAAACUGCCAUUCAACAACAAUGAAUACCAUGAUAACCAAAACUAACAAUUUUCUAGAAGCCGGUAACCAGAAUAUCAAAACAAAACCUAUUUUUAGUGACAUAAUUGAAGACAAAAUAUUGUUUGUACAAGGUCAGGGAAGUGGUGCAGAUAAUGAAAUGGGUAAUAUAAAAAAAGAUAGUACCGCUGUAACUAAUUCAAGACGGGUUACUAGCAAUUCCGAUUCAGAUACUGAUGACUGCGCUUCAGAUUCCAGUGAAAGGCGCAUUUCGAAUACUAUUGAUGAAACAAUAACAACAUCGUCAUAUAACAUUAGUGAUAUAUCCCUCAUACAAAAAAUCAAAAAGGGGAUCAACUUACCUAAUGAAUCUUCAAUUUUAGAGGCAGAAAGAGUUGAAGCAAAUAUUUCAAAAAAACAAUUAGCUGAAACUGCAUCGACUUCAAAGGAUUGUCAUUUAUACAUUUUAGAAAAAAAAAGCACACUUAGAAACAAGAAUGAUUCGUUGGAAAUAAUGUCAGUUAACAAGGAUGAAAAGCACCAGAAUACUAGUACUUCUUUGAAAUCCGGUCAGUAUUCAUGCAACAAACCAAAGAAAAUAACAAAAACUUGUAAUAAAGAAGCAAUGGACGAUUUUGUUGGUACAGCUAGAGAUAUUUCAUUGGGUACUGUGAAUACUUUUUAUAACUCAUCAAACAUUGAGACUGUAAAUGAAGGUUUAUGCGAAAAUCAUAAAAUGAGUGAUUCAAAUUCUACUUCAAGUAAAAAGGAAGAUGUGUUGGAUCAGCUGAAGGAUGAGAAUAAUAAAUGCUGGACUACACAACAUGAGACUACUCUAUCGAAUGUAAAAAAAAGAAGGAAAACAUGUAAUAUUGAUACGAAUAAUAUUAUACCAGAUACCCUGACUACUAUGGAACAUCCCGUUCGCCAAUCGAGAAGAAUCGCGCAGCAAAAAAUACGAGAAGAAACGAAUCGUCGGCUGAUUGAAGAAAAAAUGCUUCGCGAGUUGAAAGCGGAAUCUAUAAAAAAUAAAAAGAAAUAUUCACAGCCGAAAUCAGAAGAUGAAGAUUAUGUUGUAUCAGAGAUUGAGGAAAGCUUCAAUAUCGACAUUAAAACCAGGAAAAAAAAACGUGAUAUACCUUGGCUAACUUCAUCAUCCGAAAGCAGUAGCGAAUCGGAGCUGGAGGAAGAACCUGAGCAUUCUGAUGAUUGCAGAUCAUUCCCGCAAUCAGAUCAUGAAUUUUCCCCGGAAUCUGACGUUGAUAAUGAAUUUACAAUGCCGACGAAAAGAGCCAGAACGGUUCGUAUUAAAGGAAAUUCGAACUCUGAUAAUGACGAUGACAAUGUUGCAGAUUAUUUUGUGGAGCAUGCUUGUCAGAAAUGCGGCAGCACUGAUCACCCGGAAUGGAUUCUUCUUUGCGACUCGUGUGAUAAGGGUUAUCAUUGUUCUUGCUUGAUUCCAGUACUUUUUGUGAUACCUGAAGGAGACUGGUAUUGCCCCAAAUGUGAACAUGAUAAGUUACUAGAAAAGUUACAUGAAUCAUUAAUUUUAUUUGACAAAAUAUGUUCUCAAUUGGAUGCUGAAAAGGCGUUAAAGAAUCAUCAAAACAACAAGAUAACAAAUACAAAUGUCAUUGAAGAUUUGCAUUUUGAUGAAAAAAUAGAAAAACCCAAACACAUUUUAAAGAAAAAUAAAAAUACAGUGAGAAACCAAGAAGAAAAUCUAUUAAAUAGAAGUGAUCAUACAACAUCAAGCAAUGUUUCAUCGGAUAAUGAUUCUCUUUCGUCUGAGAAUAAUAAAUUGGCUUAUAAAUUAAGACGCAGGAAUCAAAACUGCUUGAAUUAUAAAUUCAACGAUUAUGAUGAUUUAAUUAAUUCAGCAAUUAGGCACGCAAAAUGCCAAAGUGACAGAGCUGGUGAAAAUACUGGUGGAAAGAGUAUAAAUAAUAUUCUGGAAUUGGAGAAAAAACAAAAUACUUCUUCUUUUGAGAAGGAUGUUAAAUCUGUAAUCUACAAAGUAUCUAAAAAAAGAAAAAGAUUAAAUGAUUUGAACUCUGAUGACGAUGACGAUGGGUCGGAUGAAGAUUUUAGUGAAGUCUUUUCGGACGAUGAGGAAGAAGAAAGUUUAUCAUUGACUGAAGAUAGCGAAAGCUCCUUAGAAUUACGCACAUCAAACAGAUUUCGUUCUGCAACUAUUAAAAAACAUGAUAAGGAAUUCAUCAACGAUGAUGAUGAUGGUAGUGACCUAAGCAAGCAUAAUGUACGGACACGGCUCAAUAAAACCAAAAAAAUUUAUCAAGAGUCAGAUGAAUUUGAAGAUGAAGAUUUUACUGAAAGCGAAGAAAUAGAUAGUGAAGACCUUUGUGAUGAUACUGAAACAGACAGCAGUCUGGAAAAAUGGAAAAAGAGAAAUUCUAAACUUUCUCAAUCAUAUGUUGACAUCAAAAAUGGUUUAAAAAAAAACAAAAAACGAGAAAAAAAGAUGAAGGAAGACGGUCCAUUUAAGACUAACUAUAGAAAAAAAACAAUGAUAAUGGAAACGGACUCUGAUCAAUCAACAAAAAACCCUGAUUUGCCUAACAAACGACGUACCAGAGGAAAAAAACUUCAUUAUCUCCUUGAUGAAGAUUUCGAAAGCUCUGACGAUGGUAUAACACCAGGAGUGUUGCGCCCAGAUACUCCUCCAGAAGAACGGGAGCGCUUUAUACAAAAGCAAGAAGAAAUUAAAAGAAUGUUGGCAGAAAAAAAUACCGCUGCUGCCAAAGAAUUAGCGACUCCAACAAUCUUACCACUUCCUGAGGUUGUUGCAAAAAAUAAACAGGCAGUGCUUUCAACCAUUCCGCAGCAAGUAAUAGAUAGCGCAAAAGCGCUCGAUAUCGAUUUACUAAAAAUUCCCAAAAACAUUGAUUCAGAUGAUUUUGACGACGAGUUGGCGGUUAAUUUCGCUGACCCAGAUGAUGUUAACGAAGAAGAACUGGCAAAAAUUAUGGAGGACGAGGACUUUGCCUCACACAAUUUAAAGCUAGAAGAAGAUAUGUUAAAGAACAAAAAUUUUGCAGAACACUCGGCGAAAAAAAAAAUAAGGGAUUUUGAAAGUAUUGAUCCAGCAGACAUUACAAAGCUUGAUAAAAAAAGGAUUUCAUACAGCAGCCAUUUUACACGACUCAAGAGUAAUACGGAUUCAUUGACUGAAAUGUCUAUCGCGAAACCGAAUAAUUCGAAUAAUUUGCAAAAUUAUAUUUUACCUAAGUCAAACAGUCCGCUUCAAUAUAUGUUAUUACCAUCUGAUAAAGCAUCAAGUUUACUGCAGCAAAUGAAACAGCAAGCUAUUCCUUUGCGUGACUGCGAACAGUCACCAAUGCAACCGUCUACGUUGCCUCACUCCAAUAUACACAUCCCUACAACUUCGCUACGUCAAAAAGGUUGUGUCACUCCGGAGAAAACAUUACCAUCUCUUGUAUUAGAAUCACCUUAUACGGAUUAUGCCAAUUUGCGCAGAAGGAGGCGGAAAAAAAUAACCCCCUUGAGAGGCGAUUUGUACAAAAACAUACAAAGCGAAAUGGAUGUACCGAACCUGCCUCAGUAUCAUGUGUCACUUAAUAAAAUCGAAAGUGUGACAGAAAAAAAUUGUUCAAACCUCAAAAGUUUAUGUUCAAAAAUAGUAGAAUCACCAUUAGACUACAGAAAAGCUCAACAAGGCUCGUUAUAUGCCCAAAGAAAUUUCUUCUGUGUGAUACAAAGCCAGUAAGUGAUAACUGUGGUUCCGCGCAAUGGACGGAAAAUUUCUUUUCUGGCACCCUAAUAGAGCCGAAAAUUGCGUCUUCCAAACCAGAAUCUAACAGAGGUAACAUUCCCUGUUGAAUCAAGAAAAAGAACAUUUCAACAUUUGAUGAGGCAGAAGAGGAAGAUGCAUUCCUAUCUGACAGAACAACGGUAAAUGGAUACCUCCGAUACAGCAGUGCCACCUAAGAAAAGGUUGAAAAGGGCAGCUACAUUAAUUCAAGAAUUUGAUAUAAACCGUUUGCUAGAAAACAAGGGUUUGUACCCCAUUAUGUCCGAAUAGUGCUACAUUUCUAUUUUUAGGUACUUCAAUGAUGUUAGUAACCAUUGAAAAAACGUCUGCGGUUAACGUUGAUACUAAUUUGGUCUGCAAACCCAUAGAAGAAUUUGAAACAGAGCAAACAAUUGCUACUUCUUAUAUGCUACCUGGUUCCAAUACUGCAAUUAUACAACGAAGCGAAGAUCUUGCAUGUGACCCACUAUUUGACCGCGAUGGGCAGUUGCUGAAUGUAUGACCACUGAUGAUGCGGGAAGAGAGAACGGAACAGCACAAGAAAACAGCGACACAGAAGAGGAGAGCGAUCGUGUUGAAUAUUGAGUAUCGUAGUUCUAAGUUAUCUUCAGUUGUUUUUUUAUUCGAUACCAAGCUAUCUGUAAUUCGUUAAUCUAGAUGUAAUUAAAGACUAGAACCUGGGCAAAAAAGGUUCAACACCAUGUAUU
Molecule: RNA transcript, 5481 nt
Organism: Wyeomyia smithii (pitcher-plant mosquito)
Lineage: Eukaryota; Metazoa; Arthropoda; Insecta; Diptera; Culicidae
Gene name: remodeling and spacing factor 1
Exons: 7
Source: RefSeq, a predicted model, not a curated record